GUGUCAGCCGCCGCGGUAAUACGUAGGGUGCAAGCGUUAAUCGGAAUUACUGGGCGUAAAGCGUGCGCAGGCGGUUUUGUAAGACAGAUGUGAAAUGCCCGGGCUUAACCUGGGAACUGCAUUUGUGACUGCAAGGCUAGAGUUUGGCAGAGGGGGGUAGAAUUCCACGUGUAGCAGUGAAAUGCGUAGAUAUGUGGAGGAAUACCGAUGGCGAAGGCAGCCCCCUGGGUCAAGACUGACGCUCAUGCACGAAAGCGUGGGGAGCAAACAGGAUUAGAUACCCUCGUAGUCC
Molecule: ribosomal RNA, 292 nt
Filed under: uncultured bacterium
Lineage: Bacteria
Description: partial 16S ribosomal RNA
Rfam family: Bacterial small subunit ribosomal RNA
Source: RNAcentral